GUUAGCGACAGGGGAAGAGAAACCCUGAAAGACAAUGAGAGAAACUACCACCUCAAGUCUAAUGAUGAAUCUGAGACUAGUCCAACGAAAAGGACUCCGUGUGGAUGAAGACUUUUUCUCAUCUGUUUGACCAAACAGUAGGCUGCCCCUAUCAACGGAUUUGGGCCUCCGCACAACCUACCAGAAUGCAGGGUACAACAUCAAAUGAAUUCCAAUUCUCUGAGAUCUGAGGCACCAACUUGUGUGGCUGCAUGCGCGGCAUAAUUUUGAUCACUCCUGACAAAAUCUCACUCCAAGGUUUUUUGAAAAGUUGGCAGGUAUGCUUCUAUGUAGUCGCUUUGAAGCUGCCCCAAAAAACAGCCGAAGAAGAAGAACAUAUUCUCGCGCAUCCUUCGUUUUACGAAACGCGCUCAGUUUGUCCGUGUAGUGCUACUAUAGAAACAUGGCUGUGCACAUUAAUAAAUUACAUGUAAGGGUGUGCCCGCGGUGUAUAUACAUAAAAUGGCUCAUUGUAAGGUAAUAUAAACAUUUCGUUUCAUUUUGUAAGGUAUUUCUUCACCACUCACAACAUAGUUUUGUAUUAUAUAUUACAUUUAGGUGAAUAAAUCCUUCAAAAUCCUACACAUUGUACCUUUAACUC
Long non-coding RNA from Triplophysa dalaica, 640 nucleotides. RefSeq lists it as uncharacterized. Lineage: Eukaryota; Metazoa; Chordata; Actinopteri; Cypriniformes; Nemacheilidae. The transcript is spliced from 3 exons. The record is from RefSeq and is a predicted model, not a curated record.